This 253-nucleotide ribosomal RNA is filed under the name uncultured bacterium. RNAcentral describes it as "partial 16S ribosomal RNA". It matches the Rfam family "Bacterial small subunit ribosomal RNA", at positions 524 to 776 of the family's 1533-position model. The record is from RNAcentral.
UACGUAGGGUGCAAGCGUUGUCCGGAAUUAUUGGGCGUAAAGAGCUCGUAGGCGGUCUGUCGCGUCUGCUGUGAAAAUCCAGGGCUCAACCCUGGACCUGCAGUGGGUACGGGCAGACUAGAGUGCGGUAGGGGUGACUGGAAUUCCUGGUGUAGCGGUGGAAUGCGCAGAUAUCAGGAGGAACACCGAUGGCGAAGGCAGGUCACUGGGCCGCAACUGACGCUGAGGAGCGAAAGCAUGGGGAGCGAACAGG